GGCGGGCGGGCCAUGGCUAGGGAGCAGUGCCGGCAUGACCUCUGGUGGCCCAGGACUGGGGAUAGGUGUGAACUCAUCCUCGAUACCUUCAGAAUUCUCAAGCAUCGCCAUUCCCGUGUAAGACUUUUGUGUUUGUGUGGGGAGAAGGCUCAACGCUGAAGAGCCUAGCGUUCCAGCUCCUUCCACAGAGCUGCCCUAGAUCACUAUUCUGAGGCACUCAAAACACUCUCUGCCCCGGGUCUGUUUUCUGUUUAAAUUUCAGACUCUAUAACUCUACACCCUGCUGGCUCCACAUCUAUCCAUGUCUUCAAUGUCCCCACCCUUCAGAUGCGCCUUGCAUGGGACUCACCUGGCUCUUGUGGAGAAGCCACGAUCCGGGAGACCGAGCUGAGCAAGCCGCUGCACAUUGGUGUGGUGAGGAUGCUGUGCCUAGCUCUCUUGCAUCGGUUCCUUAGGAUGGACACUUCCUGCCCCCAAGCCUGAGGCCCCUUUGGCUGGUAACCUGCAGGGACACACUGCCAGGGCUUAGGAAUGAAGCAGAGGUCACACUGUCUGUGACAAAGGGCGUACCAGCUUUUGGAACUGUUCACGUGGACAGACACCUGGAUAAAAGUAUAACCAACAAGGCCCCGCUGUGGGAUAGGACUGUUAUCCUCAGGCCUGUAACCAUCCAUCCGGACCUCAGUUCUCUGGAUCCUCUGCUUGGGAGGUCUCCUUCCCCCAAAAGGGACAUCGUGGCCCAGCUUGGCAGGGAGCUGGGAAGCCAAUGCUGACGAGAGGUGACCCCACCUUGAACUCUGCUGGCAAGGAAGUGCGGUCCAUAAGGAGAACAGGAGUCUGGGCUUCUUCACUCUCUUGGCCGGCCCCAGCCUCCUCCUCCAGAAUCUGAUGGAUCUCUCCCCACCUGAGACACCAUCUAACAGGCUUCCAGGUGCCAGGAUCUCAAACCUGGGAAGUUAGUUUAUAUCAAAGGAGACAUUGGUGGUCACACAUCCUGCUUCCCAUCCUGCUCCAGUCUCAGUCGUAGGAACCAGAGAGCCUGCCUGCAGCUCAGACCGCGAACCCUCCACAUUCUCAGAGAGGUAUAAGAAAAGCCCCCUUCUGUCAGGUCAACAUGUCUAAAAGCAAAACAUAUUUCCCCAUAGUUUUGUGAAGGACUUGGCAGAGGUCAGAGCACCUCCUGGCAGGGACUGUAAAAGCCCAGGGCCAUUCCUUUGUGCUGUGACCUGAGGAUGGAGUUGUCAGCCAGGAGGGCAUGAAGACUCUGAAGGAUGCCACAGACCUCCAGGGCACACCCUUCCUGAGGGCCCAUCCUGCCCAUGCUCUCUGCCCCCACACCACGGAGCUUUUUGCUUGACCUGAUAACUCA
This 1369-nucleotide long non-coding RNA is filed under the name Cricetulus griseus (Chinese hamster). RNAcentral describes it as "lncRNA (ENSCGRG00015031369.1)". Lineage: Eukaryota; Metazoa; Chordata; Mammalia; Rodentia; Cricetidae. The record is from RNAcentral.